RNAcentral lists this long non-coding RNA (1304 nucleotides) under Ursus maritimus (polar bear). RNAcentral describes it as "lncRNA (ENSUMAG00000016119.1)". Lineage: Eukaryota; Metazoa; Chordata; Mammalia; Carnivora; Ursidae. The record is from RNAcentral.
AGUAUCCGCAGUAUCCGCAGCCCCGCGCCCAGGAAAACGAGGAGUUCCUAGGACUGCGGAAAGCAAUGGGUGCCGAGAGGGCUGCAAACCCAGGGCGAGGCUUCCACGUGCCACCGCGUUGCCACUCUGGCGCGGCCCGUAGCCAAGGGCCGGAGGGGCGGGGGGCUUAGGUGGUGGCGUCCCCCUUCGAACGCCCUAGGAUGAUGCGACCUUAGCUCCCGGCUGGAAGUGGGGUGAAUGCUCGGUCGGGAGACGCCUCCUUUCACGCUCUAAGUUCUGAGGACGUAGUGACCCCAAAAGUCACUGGAGCGCCCUGAGUGCUGACGUCGGCUCCGCCUCUCCCCCUAAUCAGUAAAGCAGAGAAAGAACGUGAGGAAGCGGCCUUAACUCCUGUCCAGGUGCGGAGAUUCGGAGAUUCGAGGAGUCUUCUCCUCAGAGGAGGAGGGAUUAGCCCGCCUCAGAGACACCCCUUAGGUCCGCCUCCCACCCAUCCCCACCAGGUGUUUCAGCCAUCUUUCCUGUGUUCUUCCAUCAUCUGGUGUGAAAUCCCCCCCAGUCUGGGUGCUUCCUUGGUUCUUAGCAGUUUAUAUCUUCCUUCUCUUGCUCCCCUGCUCUCCAGUCCAGAAGAAACCACUGGAAAGUCCUGGAGCUCCAUGCUUGACAGAAGGUUGACAUGCUCUGGAGGGGACUAGUUUGGGUUCAAAAACCAAGUAACCAUCCUGGUCCCACAGAGACCACGUGUUCUGGAUGGUGUCCAGUAAGAAACGAGAGGGCAGCUUGCUUCGGACUUGAUUGAGGGGACCCACACAAGCCACCUCCUUUAUCUGUGUUUCACGUUGCCCUUCAUCCAUAACGCCAGUUAACCGUGGGUCGUCCUGCUCGUGCAAUCCAACAAGUACUUUGGAUUAAGAUAAAGCUUAUCCAUACGCGAUGCCCAUGAUGAGAAUCUUGUGAAGACGGAUGCAGUUUCUCUGGCCAACCAGAAGGACCUUGUGUGGAGCACAGGGGUGCGUGUGGGGCUCACUGCUAAUACGGAGCGCUUGCAGAGUCUCCGUGCUCACACUGGUCAGCACCGAGGCCACAAACCAUCCACAGUCUCCUGGCUAGGAUCCGAGCACAGCGGCUUCGACCCGAGCUUCAACAAGAGUCUACAUCUUGGAAUCAGUGAUCGUUUCAGGACAGAAACCUGCUUUCCCCUGUGCUUGGGCGAGCUGACCUCGAUCCGGUGUGGUGAUCGUGUGAAUACCACAGUAUAUUCCGCAGAGGUGGAGAGGAGCAUAUUACCAGAGGUAACAGCCUGGGUA